GGGUUGUGAGGUUAAGCGACUAAGCGUACACGGUGGAUGCCCUGGCAGUCAGAGGCGAUGAAGGACGUGCUAAUCUGCGAAAAGCGUCGGUAAGGUGAUAUGAACCGUUAUAGCCGGCGAUGUCCGAAUGGGGAAACCCAGUGCAAUUCGUUGCACUAUCGUUAACUGAAUACAUAGGUUAACGAGGCGAACCGGGGGAACUGAAACAUCUAAGUACCCCGAGGAAAAGAAAUCAACCGAGAUUCCCCCAGUAGCGGCGAGCGAACGGGGAGCAGCCCAGAGUCUGAAUCAGCUUGUGUGUUAGUGGAACGGUCUGGAAAGUCCGACGGUACAGGGUGAUAGUCCCGUACACCAAAAUGCACAGGUUGUGAACUCGAAGAGUAGGGCGGGACACGUGGUAUCCUGUCUGAAUAUGGGGGGACCAUCCUCCAAGGCUAAAUACUCCUGACUGACCGAUAGUGAACCAGUACCGUGAGGGAAAGGCGAAAAGAACCCCGGCGAGGGGAGUGAAAAAGAACCUGAAACCGUGUACGUACAAGCAGUGGGAGCACCUUCGUGGUGUGACUGCGUACCUUUUGUAUAAUGGGUCAGCGACUUAUAUUCUGUAGCAAGGUUAACCGUAUAGGGGAGCCGCAGGGAAACCGAGUCUUAACUGGGCGUUAAGUUGCAGGGUAUAGACCCGAAACCCGGUGAUCUAGCCAUGGGCAGGUUGAAGGUUGGGUAACACUAACUGGAGGACCGAACCGACUAAUGUUGAAAAAUUAGCGGAUGACUUGUGGCUGGGGGUGAAAGGCCAAUCAAACCGGGAGAUAGCUGGUUCUCCCCGAAAGCUAUUUAGGUAGCGCCUCGUGAACUCAUCUUCGGGGGUAGAGCACUGUUUCGGCUAGGGGGUCAUCCCGACUUACCAACCCGAUGCAAACUACGAAUACCGAAGAAUGUUAUCACGGGAGACACACGGCGGGUGCUAACGUCCGUCGUGAAGAGGGAAACAACCCAGACCGCCAGCUAAGGUCCCAAAGUCAUGGUUAAGUGGGAAACGAUGUGGGAAGGCACAGACAGCCAGGAUGUUGGCUUAGAAGCAGCCAUCAUUUAAAGAAAGCGUAAUAGCUCACUGGUCGAGUCGGCCUGCGCGGAAGAUGUAACGGGGCUAAACCAUGCACCGAAGCUGCGGCAGCGACACUAUGUGUUGUUGGGUAGGGGAGCGUUCUGUAAGCCUGCGAAGGUGACCUGUGAGGGUUGCUGGAGGUAUCAGAAGUGCGAAUGCUGACAUAAGUAACGAUAAAGCGGGUGAAAAGCCCGCUCGCCGGAAGACCAAGGGUUCCUGUCCAACGUUAAUCGGGGCAGGGUGAGUCGACCCCUAAGGCGAGGCCGAAAGGCGUAGUCGAUGGGAAACAGGUUAAUAUUCCUGUACUUGGUGUUACUGCGAAGGGGGACGGAGAAGGCUAUGUUAGCCGGGCGACGGUUGUCCCGGUUUAAGCAUGUAGGCUGGUUAUCCAGGCAAAUCCGGAUAAUCAAGGCUGAGGUGUGAUGACGAGGCACUACGGUGCUGAAGUAACAAAUGCCCUGCUUCCAGGAAAAGCCUCUAAGCAUCAGGUAACAUCAAAUCGUACCCCAAACCGACACAGGUGGUCAGGUAGAGAAUACCAAGGCGCUUGAGAGAACUCGGGUGAAGGAACUAGGCAAAAUGGUGCCGUAACUUCGGGAGAAGGCACGCUGGUGUGUAGGUGAAGUCCCUGCGGAUGGAGCUGAGACCAGUCGAAGAUACCAGCUGGCUGCAACUGUUUAUUAAAAACACAGCACUGUGCAAACACGAAAGUGGACGUAUACGGUGUGACGCCUGCCCGGUGCCGGAAGGUUAAUUGAUGGGGUUAUCCGUAAGGAGAAGCUCUUGAUCGAAGCCCCGGUAAACGGCGGCCGUAACUAUAACGGUCCUAAGGUAGCGAAAUUCCUUGUCGGGUAAGUUCCGACCUGCACGAAUGGCGUAAUGAUGGCCAGGCUGUCUCCACCCGAGACUCAGUGAAAUUGAACUCGCUGUGAAGAUGCAGUGUACCCGCGGCAAGACGGAAAGACCCCGUGAACCUUUACUAUAGCUUGACACUGAACAUUGAGCCUUGAUGUGUAGGAUAGGUGGGAGGCUUUGAAGCGUGGACGCCAGUCUGCGUGGAGCCAACCUUGAAAUACCACCCUUUAAUGUUUGAUGUUCUAACGUUGGCCCCUAAUCGGGGUUGCGGACAGUGUCUGGUGGGUAGUUUGACUGGGGCGGUCUCCUCCCAAAGCGUAACGGAGGAGCACGAAGGUUAGCUAAUCCUGGUCGGACAUCAGGAGGUUAGUGCAAUGGCAUAAGCUAGCUUGACUGCGAGCGUGACGGCGCGAGCAGGUGCGAAAGCAGGUCAUAGUGAUCCGGUGGUUCUGAAUGGAAGGGCCAUCGCUCAACGGAUAAAAGGUACUCCGGGGAUAACAGGCUGAUACCGCCCAAGAGUUCAUAUCGACGGCGGUGUUUGGCACCUCGAUGUCGGCUCAUCACAUCCUGGGGCUGAAGUAGGUCCCAAGGGUAUGGCUGUUCGCCAUUUAAAGUGGUACGCGAGCUGGGUUUAGAACGUCGUGAGACAGUUCGGUCCCUAUCUGCCGUGGGCGCUGGAGAAUUGAGGGGGGCUGCUCCUAGUACGAGAGGACCGGAGUGGACGCAUCACUGGUGUUCGGGUUGUCAUGCCAAUGGCACUGCCCGGUAGCUAAAUGCGGAAGAGAUAAGUGCUGAAAGCAUCUAAGCACGAAACUUGCCCCGAGAUGAGUUCUCCCUGAGACUUUAAGUCUCCUGAAGGAACGUUAAAGACGAUGACGUUGAUAGGCCGGGUGUGUAAGCGCAGCGAUGCGUUGAGCUAACCGGUACUAAUGAACCGUGAGGCUUAACCUUACAACGCCGAAG
Molecule: ribosomal RNA, 2923 nt
Filed under: Enterobacteriaceae bacterium S05
Lineage: Bacteria; Pseudomonadati; Pseudomonadota; Gammaproteobacteria; Enterobacterales; Enterobacteriaceae
Description: bacterial LSU rRNA
Rfam family: Bacterial large subunit ribosomal RNA
Source: RNAcentral